GCGGGGCGCGGCUGGUGCGCCUGAGGAGCGAUGGCGGCCUCAACUCACCUAGCACCGCGGUGGCGAUCGGGCCUGCUCAGGGUCGGAGUUCUGUGACUGAACGAUUUGUAGGUCUGGAUCGGGCAGUGACCUCUGAGCUCACUACUCCAGCCUGGUAUAUCUUCUGGCUCCAUGGACAGUUACUGGCUCCUACAGACCGGAUGAAGCAGACUAGAGACACAAGUAGAGAAAGCCUCUGGCUGGCAAAUUCUCAGAGUGUGGCCCUCUGGCCACUGGCCCUGCCCGGCCUACCUCAUGGAGAGGAUGAACUGGCUGAGCAGACUGGCCUCCCGGGGCCCUGGGCAUCGUGCACCACAAGGGGCCAGUCUGCAGACUCCUGUCAUGGCUGACCCUGAGACCUGCCUCAUGGUUUUCAAGAAUCACUGGUCCCAGGUGGUACGAAUUCUGGAGCGGCAAGGCCCUAGGGCAGCUCCUGGGGGAGCCGACGAUCUCAGUGCUGUGUGCAACCACACUUACCAGAUGCUGACACUGCUGGCGGAGGAUCGUGCGGUGCCCUCGGCUCCCACAGCUCCUGGGCCCCUGCUGGAGUUUGCUCUGCGCGAGGAUCUGCUAACCCGUGUGUUGACGUGGCAGCUUCAGUGGGAUGAGCUUGGGGAUGGGGUUGAGGAACGGCGGGCUGAGCAGCUGAAACUAUUUGAGAUGCUAGUGAGCGAAGCUCGCCAGCCACUGUUGCGGCAUAGUCCAGUUCGUGAGGCUCUGCUGAUCUUGCUGGAUGCCUGCGGCCGCCCUGUGCCCAGUAGCCCAGCACUGGAUGAAGGCCUGGUGCUACUUCUCAGCCAGCUGUGUGUGUGUCUGGCCCGGGAGCCUUCAUUGCUCGAGUUCUUCCUGCAGCCACCUCCUGAGCCCGGAGCUGCUCCCCGUCUUCUCCUCUUUUCUCGCCUUGUACCUUUUGUCCAUCGAGAGGGCACACUGGGCCAGCAGGCCCGUGAUGCCCUACUCCUGCUCAUGGCUCUGUCAGCUGGAAGUCCCACUGUGGGCCGCUACAUCGCGGAUCACUCUUACUUCUGCCCGGUGCUGGCCACAGGGCUGAGUGCCCUGUACUCUUCACUGCCCCGAAAGAUUGAAGUUCCAGGAGAUGAUUGGCACUGCCUGCGACGGGAGGACUGGCUGGGGGUGCCAGCCCUUGCUCUCUUCAUGAGUUCCCUAGAGUUCUGCAACGCAGUCAUUCAGGUGGCUCACCCUCUAGUGCAAAAGCAGCUGGUAGAUUAUAUCCAUAAUGGGUUCCUGGUGCCUGUCAUGGGCCCUGCCCUGCACAAGACCUCUGUGGAGGAGAUGAUUGCCAGUACCGCUUAUCUGGAACUUUUCCUACGGAGUAUUUCAGAGCCUGCCUUGCUCCGUACCUUCCUGCGAUUCCUGCUAUUACACCGGCAUGACACCCACACCAUCCUUGACACCCUUGUUGCCCGUAUUGGCAGCAACUCCCGGCUCUGCAUGGUCUCUCUGAGUCUCUUCAGGACCCUACUGAACCUCAGCUGUGAGGAUGUCCUGCUGCAGCUGGUUCUCAGGUAUCUUGUCCCAUGUAACCAUGUGAUGCUGAGCCAGAAGCCAGCUGUGCGUGAUGUGGACCUAUAUGGACGAGCAGCAGACAAGUUUCUCUCCUUAAUCCCACGCUGUUGUCGGCACUGUGCCUCCAGCCCACCUCGUCCAGAGCAUGCCUCGUGGGCACGAGGUGGGCCUAGCAGAGAGGCAGGGAGAAGGGAGGACACGACGGGCCCUGGAAGCCCAAGUGUUGACUCCUCUUCUGUGGUGACGGUACCCCGGGCCUCCACGCCAUCUCGUCUGGCCCUCUUCCUGCGACAGCAGAGCCUGGGUGGCUCCGAGUCCCCAGCCCCAGCCCCGCGCUCACCAGGGCUUGCUGCAUCCCCAGCCUCCAGCCCUGGCCGACGGCCCAGCCCUGUGGAGGAGCCCGGUGAGCUGGAAGACAAUUACCUGGAGUAUCUGCGUGAGGCGCGCCUUGGUGUGGACCGCUGUGUCCAAGCCUGCCGUACCUGGUCUGCCCCCUAUGAUGGCGAGCGGCCCCCUCCUGAGCCCAGUCCUGUUGGCUCCCGGACUAAGAAACGCAGCCUACUGCCUGAGGAGGACAGGGACAAUGCAGGGGAAGGGGAGGAGGAAGAGCUGGGGAGGGGGGUGCUGGCUCUGGGUGCAAGGGAGGGCUCUGGCCACCUGCUCCCUCCCCAGCUCAAUGGGGUGCCAGGACCAUGGCCUGAGGGGGCCAAGAAAGUUCGUCGGGUGCCACAGGAGGGAGCUGGGGAACUACUAGAGGGCACCUCCGAGGGCGUGGCAGGACUAGAGAGCUUUGGGCAGGAGCUCCGGGAGCUGGAGGUGGCGUUGAGCAAUGGGGGCGCUGGCUCAGAGCCCCCUCUAGAGGCUUCACUACCUCUUGAGGAGGAGGAGGCCUACGAAAGCUUCACCUGUCCCCCUGAGCCCCCUGGCCCCUUCCUCAGCAGCCCUUUGCGGACUCUCAACCAGCUGCCAAGCCAGCCCUUCACUGGCCCCUUCAUGGCUGUGCUCUUUGCCAAACUCGAGAACAUGCUGCAGAACUCCGUCUAUGUCAACUUCCUGCUGACGGGGCUGGUGGCCCAGCUGGCCUGUCACCCCCAGCCCCUGCUCCGCUCUUUCCUGCUCAACACCAACAUGGUCUUCCAGCCCAGUGUCAAGUCCCUGCUGCAGGUGCUGGGCUCUGUGAAGAAUAAGAUUGAGAGCUUUGCAGCCUCCCAGGAGGACUUCCCAGCACUGCUAUCCAAAGCCAAGAAGUACCUCAUUGCCCGUGGCAAGUUGGACUGGACCGAGGGCCCUGCGGCAGGAUCUGCUCCCCGCCGAUCUGAUUCCCUAGUGAAGAGCCGGAGGCCGUCCCUGGGGGAGUUGCUCCUGCGGCAUGCACACAGUCCAACCAGGGCUCGGCAGGCGGCACAGAUGGUUCUUCAGCCUGGGAGAGACGGCACAGGACUUGGCCUAGGUGGGGGCUCCCCUGGGGCAUCAACACCGGUCCUACCCCCCCGGGGUGGGGCCCCUGACCGCCAAGGGCAGGGGCCCCAAAAGGGUUGUACAUGGAUGGGGAAGUGGUCAGGGUGUUUUGUCUCUGGCGAGGACACGAUGCCAAGGUUUCGAGUUCACAGAGUCUGAGACUGAAAGUUGAUGAAGGAAAACACAUGACAGCUGAGUUCUAGGUGGAGCUGAUGAGCCCAAGGCCUGGGCUCUUUGGGCCAUAUCCUGUUCAUGGGUUUUGCCACCAUGGUAGCACGUUCUGGGGUCUCCCUGGGAUAAAAGGCACAGCUUAUCAGCAUAUCUGAGGAGUGACCAGAGUGGAGAGCACGAGGGAAACAAACAGGUAGGGGCUGUUAUCCAGAGAACAUGCCGCUCUCUGCAAGAGCCUCCAUGGCAGUACAGAAUCGUUUGGAUAACAAAGACCUCAGAGUGUUCAAGAGCCCUGACAAGUCUCACUUCUCUCAGGCUACAGGGAUAAUCCUACAGGUCCCUAAUCGCUUAUUUGAAACCUUUUGGGACGGAUGUGUUUUGGAAUUCAGAAUUUUUAAGAUUUUAGAAAGGGAAUAUUGUGCCUUUAUGAUAUAUAAAGGAAUACCCCAGUGAGAUUGAGGGCGGUGCCCUGUCAUCAAACCCAUCAAUAUUUCUGUAGCUAAAUGUAUGAAUAUUCACACUAAGUGAGAUAAAUAGUAUAAAUAUGAUCAUGACGGGUCAGGCCAGAUUUUGGGUCAAAGUUAUGAAAAAACUAUUGUUUCUUCAGAGAUGUUUUUAUUUUGUAAUUAUAGGUAAGGGAUUAUGGGCUUAUAAUUGUUCUCAGGUUGUUGUGAGGAGUAAGAGUGCCGGAAAAGCCUUCUAAACACACCGCAUGCUAGGUACGUAUGCAAUCUCAAUCCAAAACAAAAUAUAAAUGUCUGAGGGGAUGGACUUUUGGCUUAACAGUGAACAAUGUACAGCUUUGGACUCAGCUGCCUUGGGAGUUGUGCACAACCAUGGAGUGAAGGUGCCUUACUUAGCAGAGAGGCUUCCUGUGGUGGGAGGGAGACAGAACUCACCGCUUUUGAACAUCGGCUGCACAUGAUUUCCCUUUUCACGUACCAGAGGUGAAAGACAAAAAAUGUGUGGAGUCUUUUAGCAGAAAGUGAAUCCCAUGUUGAGCAAUACCACAACACUUCCUGUUUAAUAUCUCUGUUCUCUGGAAGCCACAGCAGUGUGAAAUAUUCCUAUUUCAUCAUAUUGCACCAGCAUCGUGUGCUACUCGUCAUGUUGGCCAGGACAAAUGGGGGUUCUAUUUGAUGUGGAUUUUAUUUGAGAAUUCUACAUUCUGGCUCAGGAUGCACAAAAGGGCAGACUGAAGGGGGUUACCCUCGAGUUUCAUUCCUGGGGUGCCAGAAGCAGAACAGGUGACAGGAGGGGAGGAGAUGGCACUCAACCCAGAGUAGCAGCCAGAAGAGGAAGAAGCAUCUCUGGUGUUGGAAGAGGCAGGAUGAGUAGAAUCGAUUCCUCCCAGAACAGAAUCUAGCCCGUGGCAGAAACUUAACAAAGGUUGGAUGGAUAAAUGAAGGAGGAGGAAAGCACCAGCAGAAGACUUGACUGGGGAAGGAGCCUAAGCACCGUGUGUUUGCAGCUUCUCUUCACCUUGACCAAUGUCUGUGGGGCCCUUUCUACCCACUUCCCUCAGGACCCUUACCCCUCCCACCUGGGUCACAUGAACUCUUCCCUGUUCUGCCUCUGCUAACCUGGGUAACUCAGGAAGUAGAGUAAGGAGGUAGAGAUGGGGGCAACAAAGAAAGAGACUGACUUUUGUCAGUGGAAAGAUCUGGGUUAGAGGAACACUUCCUCUGGGAGGUCUUUGCUGACUUCCUGAAGUCUGGAGAGAAGACCUUGCUUUCUUUAUUUUUAAUAGCAUCAGUUCCCGUCUAUUGUAAUUACUUGUCUCUCUCUCCCCCACUAGACUGAAAGAGUUACAGGCAGUGCUUAUUUGCCUCACUGUUACCACUGCUUAU
Molecule: non-coding RNA, 5045 nt
Organism: Kogia breviceps (pygmy sperm whale)
Lineage: Eukaryota; Metazoa; Chordata; Mammalia; Artiodactyla; Physeteridae
Source: RefSeq, a predicted model, not a curated record